GGUCAUUUAGAGGAAGUAAAAGUCGUAACAAGGUCUCCGUUGGUGAACCAGCGGAGGGAUCAUU
RNAcentral lists this ribosomal RNA (64 nucleotides) under Eucasphaeria capensis. RNAcentral's name for it is "partial 18S ribosomal RNA". It matches the Rfam family "Eukaryotic small subunit ribosomal RNA", at positions 1767 to 1830 of the family's 1831-position model. Lineage: Eukaryota; Fungi; Ascomycota; Sordariomycetes; Hypocreales. The record is from RNAcentral. RNAcentral also lists the same sequence under 1 other name.